Molecule: ribosomal RNA, 497 nt
Filed under: uncultured bacterium
Lineage: Bacteria
Description: partial 16S ribosomal RNA
Rfam family: Bacterial small subunit ribosomal RNA
Source: RNAcentral
GAUGAACGCUGGCGGCGUGCCUAAUACAUGCAAGUCGAGCGAACGGACGAGAAGCUUGCUUCUCUGAUGUUAGCGGCGGACGGGUGAGUAACACGUGGAUAACCUACCUAUAAGACUGGGAUAACUUCGGGAAACCGGAGCUAAUCCCGGAUAAUAUUUUGAACCGCAUGGUUCAAAAGUGAAAGACGGUCUUGCUGUCACUUAUAGAUGGAUCCGCGCUGCAUUAGCUAGUUGGUAAGGUAACGGCUUACCAAGGCAACGAUGCAUAGCCGACCUGAGAGGGUCGUCGCCCACAGUGGAACUGAGACACGGUCCAGACUCCUACGGGAGGCAGCAGUAGGGAAUCUUCCGCAAUGGGCGAAAGCCUGACGGAGCAACGCCGCGUGAGUGAUGAAGGUCUGCGGAUCAUAAAACUCUAUUAUUAGGGAAGAACAUAUGUGUAAUGAACUGUGCACAUCUUGACGGUACCUAAUCAGAAAGCCACGGCUAACUACGUG